AAUGUAAAGUACUACUUCUGCCACCAAAUGCAGAAUUGAUAAAAAUUUGUGAAUUCCUGAAAUCAUAAUCAGUAAAAGAGUGGGUCUUAUAUUAUACUAGAUCUACUAACCAAAGUUGAAGCCUGGCGUCUGUGUUGUGGGGUUAGAGGUUCCAAACUGAGUGCCUGAAAUGGCUGCGCCGAAGUUGAAUCCUCCAGUGGCUGGCUGGGCAGGGGUAGCAGGGGCCUGCUGUGUGGACACACCACCAAACGAGAAAGUUGGGGCGGAGGCUGGGAGUAUGCCGACAGUCUGGGUGGCAGAGCCAAAGGCCGGGGCUGCUGGGGUGCCCGUGGUGUUGCCAAAUGCAAAACCUGUGGAGUUUGCUCCAAAUGCCAGCUUAGUGGUGGUCCCAAAGGUAGAGGCCGCCGUAGUGGCAGCCGCGCCAAAAGCAAAAGGAGCAGGGGUGGCCCCAGUGGCAGGUGACCCAAAUGUGAAAGGAUUAGCUGCCGCAGUAGCAGCCGGGGCCUGAAUCGCACUGGGGAACGCCGAUGCCGCCGGAGCUUCGAACGACGACUUCCCAAACGUGAAAGUGGACUGGUUUGCAGGUGCAGAAGCAGUAGCAGUGGCUGCGGCUGCAGUGGCCAUGCCAAAGCCACCGAAGGAUGCGGUGGUAGAGUUCUGGGUGGCUACAGGCUGGCCAAAGGUGAAUCCCCCCUGGGCGGUGGCUGAGGGGGCAGGUUGAGUGGCGCCAGAGGUGGUGGUCAUCGCACCAAACGAAAAGCCGCUGUUGCUAGUGGUGGCGGCUGUGGUGGAGCUGAGGGUGGGUCCAGGAGCUGUGGUGGAGGCGGUGCCGAACUGGAAGGUACUUCCUGUGGCAGGGGCAGUGGUUGUGGCAGCAGUCGUUGCAGGCAGCGCACUCCAGUUUCCAAACAGAGACUUGACAGAUGGCGGGGCGGCUGGGUUGGUGGAGGGGGCGGUGCUAUUAGACAGCCCAGUGAACAGGGAGGCGGCUGGGGCCACUGUACUACUGUUGGUUAGCCUGCUGAACACUGUGGCAGAUGCACUGGCAUUGGAGGGGGCUGAGGUGGAGGCUGGCUGUCCGAAAGCACUGGUGGCUGUGGCACUUCCAAAUAUGGGUUUAAAGGUGGGAAGAGCAGGUGUGCCCUCUGAGGCUGGGGCCGUGGCCCCGAAGAUGGGCUUGAACACCGAGGCCAGGAGGGGAUUAUUACUACUGGUUGUUUCUGUGGUGGCGGUUGUGGUUGUGGUGGGGGCCGGUGAGGAGGACGGGGCAGUCAGUGGAUUGGCCAUUCCAAACAGGCUUGCUCCACCCAGGAUGGGGACACUGCUGGGGGCCUUGGUGACUUGGCUCAGCGCCUGGGUGAAGGCAGAGGGCAUGGUGCUGGCAGGCUGGGAGAGGGAGGGUAGUGCAGGCUGGGAGAGGGAGGGUAGUGCAGGCUGGGAGAGGGAGGGUAGUGCAGGCUGGGAGAGGGAGGGUAGUGCAGGCUGGGAGAGGGAGGGUAGUGCAGGCUGGGAGAGGGAGGGUAGUGCAGGCUGGGAGAGGGAGGGUAGUGCAGGCUGGGAGAGGGAGGGUAGUGCAGGCUGGGAGAGGGAGGGUAGUGCAGGCUGGGAGAGGGAGGGUAGUGCAGGCUGGGGAGCAGACAAGCUGGUCUUCGACUUCUGCUCUGCAGGCACCAGUGGUGCAGGGGGUGUCACUGCUGUCACCAAGGAGACAGCCGGAGCGGGAGGGAAAACAAGAGAAAAAUAGACUUUUGAGUAACAACUCAGAUAAACGAACCGUCACUCAACGGCAACUACCAAACAAAAGUGGCUCUCAACUUUAAAUUAUUGCUAUGUGAUUAACAGACCUGUAGUAUUGUCAGCAGCAGCACUGGUGAGGGGGUUGUUCCUCAUCAUUUUCAGAGACUCCAGGAGGGGGUUGGUGACGGGGGAGGCUGUGGAGGUUGGGGCCAUGGUGACAGUGCUUGAGGGGACGGGGUCCAGGUUGAUGACGGGGAUAGGAGCCGCCACACUAGCAGGCAUUGAUACGGUAAGAUGGCUGGCCUGCAGGGUGGGUGUGGGGUUGCCUGACACAGGAGGCUUAGAAGAUGUGGUCACUACUGGAGCAGGCUUCUCUGGCUCUGGAACAAAAGAAAUGGCCCAAAAUCAAUAUCUUAUAUUUUUUGGGACACUGGUUUAGAAAAGUUGGGAAUUGGCAAUAUUCACCGGGCUCUUUGAGGACUGUGUUGAUCUGGCUGAGAGCAGCUUUCUUCUCCUGAUCCAGGUCUUUCACCGUGAUGGUGUAGCCCAACUCAGGAGGUGGAGGCUGCAGACAACAUCAAUGUUAAGACUUCCUGUUUGUCAGAUGAUUAGCUACAUGUCCCAUUUGAGGACAUGUUCUAUUAUGCAGUAUUUCUCACCAAAGAGAUUAGGUCUCCUCUACGGCUGGACACCAGCGGAAUCUUACGUUUCCGUUUCCCACUACCGGCAGAGCCUGACGAGGCUGAAGCCACAGGGACUUCAGGGGCCGGAGCCAGCUUCCCUGUAACAGGACAUACAGUGCAUUGACUUAAUGUGGUGGCUACCGUUAUUUUGAAUCAAAACUUAAGUCUCUUUUGGGACGUGACUAAAGCCCUGAACCUGAUCUGAAGUGGAAAACGCAUCAUAAACAUGUUCUAACCAGUGGUUGGUGCUGGGUCUGUCAACGUCUUGUCAGACCUCUCCAAGGACACAGAGCUGGGUGAGCGAGCGUCCUCUUCCCUGACCUGGGCUUUUUAGAGGCUCUCUCUGGGGUCUGGGACCGGGACGACCCAGGGCUGGAGAGCGGGGAGAGACUGCGGGUAGAGGCUUUUUUCCACUUUAAAACAAACGUGAAAAUUAGGUUUAGGUUGGCACUCACCCCAGUUUUCUGACAAAAUACAUCAGUGUAGGUCAGC
This 2912-nucleotide long non-coding RNA is filed under the name Salmo salar (Atlantic salmon). Its description in RNAcentral is "lncRNA (ENSSSAG00000085389.1, ENSSSAG00000096740.1)". The record is from RNAcentral. Lineage: Eukaryota; Metazoa; Chordata; Actinopteri; Salmoniformes; Salmonidae.